AGUUCCGUAGUGUAGUGGUUAUCACGUCUGCUUUACACGCAGAAGGUCAUGGGUUCGAACCCCAUCGGAACUA
Ciona savignyi (Pacific transparent sea squirt) is the source of this 73-nucleotide non-coding RNA. The record is from Rfam. NCBI's taxonomy places the organism in Eukaryota, Metazoa, Chordata, Ascidiacea, Phlebobranchia, Cionidae.